Molecule: long non-coding RNA, 1714 nt
Filed under: Brassica napus (rape)
Lineage: Eukaryota; Viridiplantae; Streptophyta; Magnoliopsida; Brassicales; Brassicaceae
Description: long non-coding RNA (BNAP_LNC019006)
Source: RNAcentral
ACUACAAAGGGAACGAGAGAGCCAUGUUGCUGCCCAACUGUCUCUUCCGCAUGGGAUCCGCGGCAAUUCUUAUGUCAAACCGUCGGUCUGACCGGUGGAGAGCCAAGUACAAGCUCUGCCACCUUGUCCGGACCCACCGUGGCGCUGACGACAAGUCUUACUACUGCGUCUAUGAACAGGAAGAUAGAGAAGGAAAGAUUGGCAUCAACUUGUCCAAAGAUCUUAUGGCCAUCGCCGGUGAAGCUCUCAAGGCUAACAUCACCACAAUAGGUAAUAAUAAUACAUAUCAUUUAAUUCACUUUAAUACCCUAACAAUAAUAUAAACGGUGGAAAAGUAUUUUAAGGGGUGGGUGGGUGAUUCAACUAUUUUGGUUCUUGUUCAGUGUGAAUCUUUUGAAUCGGUUAGUUUUUUUUUUUUGAUAAACAAAUUACAUACCGCUAUAAUUUUUUUUUAUAAUUAAACAAUAAUUAGGAAUGUCUUGUUUGUAGGAGAAUUUUGCUUAUCGAUUCGAUUGCAUGAAACUCGAUCGGUUUGUUAAAGUAUCAUCAAUGUCAAGAGUAUCUAACCAUAUAAAGCUAAUAUUUUAUUAAAAUUUAUUUGUGUAGUUAAAUUUAAAAUAAAAAAUAAAUCAAUUAACACUUGACACAUUUAGAUGGGUAUCUCACAAUUUAGAUUUGGAUAUCUCAUAUGAGAUACUCUCCUUUUCAAAUCUCAUUUUCUUUCAUACUUUUUCAAUUUAUUCCAUACUUUUAAUUGGUAGAGACUCUUGGAGAUACUAAUGAUAUAAUUUAUUUGGUUUGAUUUUGGUUUGAAAAAUUAGUGUUCCGUUGGGGUUUAUUCAAGAAGUCGAUUGAACGGUUCAGUUUUCGGUUUCGAUUGGUUAAAAGAAAAUUUUGGUUUUGGUUUCAAAUGCGAAUCCUUGAACGUUCUGGUCUAGGCGAAGAGACUUGUCUCCCUCCAGCUAUUCAUUACAUUCCUCCUACACCAACCAUGGACGAGGCAAGAAGCGAGGCUCAGAUGGUUAUCUUCACGGCUAUGGAUGAUCUCUUCAAGAAAACUGGUCUCCUGCCUAAAGACAUCGACAUACUCAUUGUCAACUGCUCUCUCUUCUCGCCCACCCCAUCGCUCUCAGCAAUGGUCAUCAACAAAUAUAAGCUUAGGAGCAACAUUAAAAGCUUUAAUCUCUCCGGGAUGGGCUGCAGCGCGGGCCUGAUCUCAGUCGAUCUGGCCCGUGAUCUCCUUCAGGUUCAUCCCAAUUCUAAUGCGGUCAUUGUCAGCACUGAGAUCAUAACUCCUAAUUACUACAAAGGGAACGAGAGAGCCAUGUUGCUGCCCAACUGUCUCUUCCGCAUGGGAUCCGCGGCAAUUCUUAUGUCAAACCGUCGGUCUGACCGGUGGAGAGCCAAGUACAAGCUCUGCCACCUUGUCCGGACCCACCGUGGCGCUGACGACAAGUCUUACUACUGCGUCUAUGAACAGGAAGAUAGAGAAGGAAAGAUUGGCAUCAACUUGUCCAAAGAUCUUAUGGCCAUCGCCGGUGAAGCUCUCAAGGCUAACAUCACCACAAUAGGUAAUAAUAAUACAUAUCAUUUAAUUCACUUUAAUACCCUAACAAUAAUAUAAACGGUGGAAAAGUAUUUUAAGGGGUGGGUGGGUGAUUCAACUAUUUUGGUUCUUGUUCAGUGUGAAUCUUUUGAAUCGGUUAGUUUUUUU